This 455-nucleotide ribosomal RNA is filed under the name uncultured Pseudomonas sp. Its description in RNAcentral is "bacterial SSU rRNA". It matches the Rfam family "Bacterial small subunit ribosomal RNA", at positions 926 to 1382 of the family's 1533-position model. Lineage: Bacteria; Pseudomonadati; Pseudomonadota; Gammaproteobacteria; Pseudomonadales; Pseudomonadaceae. The record is from RNAcentral.
CAAGCGGCGGAGCAUGUGGAUUAAUUCGAUGCAACGCGAGAACUUACCAGGCCUUGACAUGCAGAGAACUUUCCAGAGAUGGAUUGGUGCCUUCGGGAACUCUGACACAGGUGCUGCAUGGCUGUCGUCAGCUCGUGUCGUGAGAUGUUGGGUUAAGUCCCGUAACGAGCGCAACCCUUGUCCUUAGUUACCAGCACGUUAUGGUGGGCACUCUAAGGAGACUGCCGGUGACAAACCGGAGGAAGGUGGGGAUGACGUUAAGUCAUCAUGGCCCUUACGGCCUGGGCUACACACGUGCUACAAUGGUCGGUACAAAGGGUUGCCAAGCCGCGAGGUGGAGCUAAUCCCAUAAAACCGAUCGUAGUCCGGAUCGCAGUCUGCAACUCGACUGCGUGAAGUCGGAAUCGCUAGUAAUCGUGAAUCAGAAUGUCACGGUGAAUACGUUCCCGGGCCUU